CUGUAAUCAAAGCAGUGAUUUGUAUUGAACACUGCAUACUCUUUGUACUGAAAAUGACAUAUCUGUUGCCUAUUUUAGACUAGCUCAUACCUUGAAAGAAGCUACAAUCCCUUACUGAACUAUCAGGGGUGUGAGGGAAACAAGUCAAAGGAGGUAUUAUUGGAUUAUUCGCUCUUCUAGGACAGAACCUGUUUGUAUAAUCAGAGAUAUGCCUUAAGUGGUCUUUAAAGAAAGUCAGAUUUUUGUUUAAAAAAGGGGAAGGAGGAGGCUUCAUUAACUAGACUGACAGGCUCCAUAGAUUUCUCAAGUGUUUAAAUUAAGGAUUGUGAGUUCUUGAAACUUGACAAGGAAAGCAGGAUUGUCACCGCUGGCUGCCUGAACCAGAGUGUUAUAGUCAUUGUCAAAAGACGGGCUGCAGAACCAUAGAAGACAACAUUCUUGCCUUCAGUGUAUCAUCAGAGGAAUCUUGAACAAAAGAGAACAAAAUACUUUUAUGAUAUCUGAACUUCAGAAGACUCAAAGGUCAUGUCCAGCUCACUUAUGCUGCCCAACUCCUUUACCUGCAAGGGCAGAGUGAGUGGACAACUGUGUGGUGCUUGGCUGCCUACAGGAAUAAACUACAACAAAUUCAAAUGCUGGAUUACCUUUAAGAGGCCAACACAGCUGAAGUUCCGAAUGGUGUUGUUUAUGCUCUGGGACCAAGCCUUGGGACAGGGAGAAGAUGCUUAGAUGAAUAAGAACGGAAAUCCUUAAGAGAAAUAAUAUGAACUGCUUCUGAACUAUCCUACUCAUGCUACUGUUGACAAGUGGGGUGUUGCAAUGAGUUGAGGCUUCCUUUGGAGGCUUCCUCUGUGAUUUUUACCAACAUGGUAGAACCAGGUGGAAGUAAUUUGCAGGCCAGAAACCUGCUGUUAUAUACUUUCUGUGGCUAUGGGCUACAGUAAAAAAACGGUUAAGCAGUUCUGAAAUUGUGCUUUUUAUUUCUUUUUCUUGAGAAUGCUACUUUAGGACUGACAUCAAACUGCAUUGCUUAGGAAGCAAGGAAGAAUUUUUUGAGGCUACCUAAAGGCAUUUUAAGUAAUAGGCAUUUAACUGUCAUUCAUCUUCCUAACACUUUGAAUUUUAAAAAGGGUUUUCCUCUAAUAAUUUGACAUUUCUUCCCCUUUCUAAUGAUAACCAUUGUACAGUAGAGCUUUCUUUAAUAAGGCUUAGCACUGUACAGUUUUGUGUCCACUGACUCUUCUAUUUCUGGAUUAUUUUGAUCGUAUUCAGCUUUUGUGAUUUCAGCAAGAGGGUGAUAGAACAGUAUCUUUGAAAUAAAGAUCUUAGUUCACAUGUGGAUGUAGAACUGGAUGGCAUUCAGGCAACAGACUACUUUUACAAGGGGGCAGUGAAAAAAAUCAAGUGUCAUUCAGAAAGUGCUGCAAGAAUAGUCAAGAGGCGGAGGAAGAACUUGGAGAAGACACUGGAAAAGAAAAGCAAGGAUUUAGUGCUUUCAGGGAAAAUGGGCAAGCUGAACUAGUCAGAGAAGCAGGAAGAACCAAUGAGAGAAACAGGUUAAAGGUAUACCAUUAAAGUCAGAUUACCUUAUCAAGAGACACAAUUAUUUAAAAUAAAAUGGACUCUAGACUGUUUCAACUCCUGUACUGAAUAAAAAUAGGAAAGUGGAAGAUAAGGGAAGAUAGCCCAAGCACAGAUCCAGGUUGGGCAGAGAAUGUCUUGAGAGCAGCCCCGAGGAGAAGGAUUUGGGAGUGUUGGUUGAUGAAAUAUUCAACAUGAGCCAUCAAUGUGUGCUUGCAGCCCAGAAGGCCAACUGCAUCCUGUGUUGCAUCAAGAGAAAUGUGAGUAACAGGACGAGGGAGGUGAUUUUGCCCCUCUAUUCUGCUCUCAUGAGACCUCACCUGGAUUACCGCAUCCAGUUCUGAUGCCCCCAACACAAGAAGCAUGUCAAGCUGUUGGAGAAGGUCCAGAGAGGGGUCAUGAAGAUGAUCAGAGGACUGGAGUACCUCCUUUAUGAGAGCAGGGGCUUUUAUGAGAGUUGGGGCUUUUCAGCUUGGAGAACAGAAGGCUCUAGGGGGACCUCACAGUGGUUUUCCAGUACCUGAAGGGGGCCUACAGGAAGGCUGGGAAUGGACUUUUCAUAAGGGCAUGUAGUGACAGGACAAGGGGAAAUAGCUUUAAACUGGAAGAGGGCAGAUUCUGACUGGAUAUUCAGAAGAAAUUCUUUACUGUGAGGGUGGUGAGAUACAGGAACAGGUUGCCCAGGGAGGUUGAGAAUACCCCCUCCCUGGAAGUAUUCAAGGCCAGGCUGGAUGGGGCUUUCAGAAACUCGAUCUAGAGGGAGAUGUCCCUGCCUAUAGCAGAG
This is a long non-coding RNA of Gallus gallus (chicken), 2365 nucleotides long. NCBI's taxonomy places the organism in Eukaryota, Metazoa, Chordata, Aves, Galliformes, Phasianidae. The record is from Ensembl.